RNAcentral lists this ribosomal RNA (335 nucleotides) under uncultured Planctomycetales bacterium. Its description in RNAcentral is "bacterial SSU rRNA". It matches the Rfam family "Bacterial small subunit ribosomal RNA", at positions 473 to 806 of the family's 1533-position model. The record is from RNAcentral. Lineage: Bacteria; Pseudomonadati; Planctomycetota; Planctomycetia; Planctomycetales.
CUAAGGCUCCAGAGGAAGCCACGGCUAACUCUGUGCCAGCAGCCGCGGUAAUACAGAGGCGGCAAGCGUUGUUCGGAAUUAUUGGGCGUAAAGAGCACGUAGGCGGCCUUGCAAGUCGGUUGUGAAAGCCUUCCGCUUAACGGAAGAAUGCCAGCUGAUACUACAGGGCUUGAGUACGGGAGGGGAGAGUGGAACUUCUGGUGGAGCGGUGAAAUGCGUAGAUAUCAGAAGGAACGCCGGCGGCGAAAGCGACUCUCUGGCCCGAAACUGACGCUGAGUGUGCGAAAGCUAGGGGAGCAAACGGGAUUAGAUACCCCGGUAGUCCUAGCCGUAAA